Molecule: unclassified non-coding RNA, 1968 nt
Filed under: Leishmania donovani
Lineage: Eukaryota; Euglenozoa; Kinetoplastea; Trypanosomatida; Trypanosomatidae
Description: gene:LdHU3.26.2180(CDS-product:hypothetical_prote in_conserved)
Source: RNAcentral
CGGCUCUAUCCGCUGUCUCGUCCUGUACGGUCUGCAUCCAGCAUCAAUGCUCCGCCCUUCACAGCCACUGCGCCGUUCCAUUGAUGGGUGGCGGCGGGAGAGCAACAGCAGUCAGAGCUCCAAGGUUUCGAUGACAUCACGACGGUUAAGUUGCCGCUCCCAUGAGGCUUCGGCCUUGUUCUCGACAGCCUCGGCUGCACGUUGUGCGAAUACGGCGCCGCCAGGGCCGGCCGCACUCCCGGACGCGGAGGUGACGUCUGCCGUGUCUCUGCCCUCGUUGCGCUCCUGCACCGCCGAAGCGUACAAGGUAAGUGACUUGCGUAGCGUGCACCGACCGCAGCAGCUGACACCCCCCUUUCUUGCGACUGCGGCUGAUUUCGUUGAUAGUGGUGCUGCUGCUGUGACCGACAAGGUAGAAAGCUAUGCAGAUGGCCGCACCAAGGAACCGUCCUCACCACGGAAAAUUUCAACGCCGCACCACGCAUGUCUGCAAGUUUUUUUCGAUGGCACCAACAGGCAACCGUGCAUGCCCAAGUCUGCUCAGCGACUCUUCACGUCGGCUGAGGUGUCUACGCUGCGUAGCGAGGCCCAGCAAACCUACACGCGUAGGAAGAGAACAGAGGAGCAGAAGGAGCUCAUCGCUGCAGAGGCGGAGGCGCGCUCACUGCUGGCCGAAGCCGCCUUGGACCAAAUCGCAGCGGUGCGGGAGCUUCAGGAGGAGGAGCGUGAAUCGCGAAUGCGGGCGGUGUCGGCAGCAGCGCUUCCGGUGCAGUAUCUUGAGCAGCGAAUUCGCCGCCGUAUUGACGAGGAGUACGCGCAGCAAGAUGCGCAGCUUCGCCAGGAGGGCCGCGAUGCGUGGCGGCUGCGAGUGGAGCUUGAAACAGCGGCUUCGGUGGACGCCAGCACGCGUGAGGUGGAGCGUCGAGCUGCUACUCAUCGAUUUCGCGCGGCGCUCACCUUCAUCAUAGUGCAGGAGAUGGAGCUGCGAAAGCUUGUCGAGGCCGAGUCAGCGAAGUUCUGGGAGACGUUUGUGCAGGAAGAGGCAGAGGGCAAGGCCGAUGCUGAGAACCGCGCACUGGUACGAUUCCUCAACACCCCUGAGCAGCUUGCCCUCGCGGCGGCGCGCGAGAAGCGAGAGAGGAGACGGGCGCUUCGCACAGCGAAGCUACUGAGGCUCUUUCAAGAGCAGCAAGAAGGUUUUGUGAAAGGGUGCCGGCAUGGAACAGGCGGAGUGUCGCUGUUCGUGGGCGACGCACCCAAGAAGGUCUGCGGGCGUUGCCGUGUCAAGUGGGAUGAAGGCCUUGGCUACUAUGUGUCCAUAGAUCGCACAGUGAAGAUUCACCCACCUCCGCCACCGAUUACCGCGGCAGCAGAAGCAGAUGUCAAGACGGCGUCGCAUGCUGCGAAGCGAGCCUCAGCAGAGGCCGCCAAGAGCGGCUGCCUGUUGCCGCCACUGAAGAAGAUGCUGAAAUAGUCACCCGUUCCUCGGCGCUUACAGGAAGAGGGGUGAUCGCGUCUGCUUGUCUGUGUGUAUGUGUGUGAGCUUCGUUGCGCGCGCCUGUUGUGGUUUUCUCUUCGAGCGUCGACGGCGACAGCGCGCGUGUUGCUCUCUCUCCCGCCGCCGUCUUCUCUUCCCUUGUGGGACUUGUUUUUCUUGUGGCUCCAUCCUCUCGCCCCACUUCUUUGCGAUUUCGUUGACUCUCUUCCCUCUGCAGCGUUGUCGCACUCUCUCCCCUUUCGCUAACAUGUACAUCUCACCACUUCUCAGUCGUUGCACGUUUAUGCGCGCGUGACUGGACGUAUUCUCUCGUUCUCCUGUUCUUAUGGAGCCCGACGCGCCCUCGUCAUCAGCUGCCGCUGGACCCUCCCUAGAACAGCCGGUGGAUAUCCUGCAUCAUACCAGUCGCAUACCACUGCGAAGCAGCAGCUAUCCAUCAUCGAUGCUUGCCAACUGCCGUGCAUGACGAC